CGCUAUCACUCCUACGGGAGGCAGCAGUGGGGAAUAUUGGACAAUGGACCAAAAGUCUGAUCCAGCAAUUCUGUGUGUUUGAUGAAGGCCUUCGGGUUGUAAAGAACUUUCAGUGGGGAAGAAGCAAGUGACGGUACCCCACAGAAGAAGCGACGGCUAAAUACGUGCCAGCAGCCGCGGUAAUACGUAUGUCGCAAGCGUUAUCCGGAAUUAUUGGGCAUAAAGGGCGUCUAGGCGGUCUAAUAAGUCUGAUGUGAAAAUGCGGGGCUCAACUCCGUAUUGCGUUGGAAACUGUUAGACUAGAGUUUUGGAGAGGUAGGCGGAACUACAAGUGUAGAGGUGAAAUUCGUAGAGAUUUGUAGGAAUGCCGAUGACGAAGGUAGCUUACUGGACAAAUACUGACGCUGAAGCGCGAAAGCUAGGGGAGCAAACAGGAUUAGAUACCCUGGUAG
RNAcentral lists this ribosomal RNA (452 nucleotides) under uncultured bacterium. RNAcentral describes it as "bacterial SSU rRNA". It matches the Rfam family "Bacterial small subunit ribosomal RNA", at positions 328 to 793 of the family's 1533-position model. The record is from RNAcentral.